RNAcentral lists this long non-coding RNA (641 nucleotides) under Homo sapiens (human). Its description in RNAcentral is "long non-coding RNA NONHSAT232644". The record is from RNAcentral. Lineage: Eukaryota; Metazoa; Chordata; Mammalia; Primates; Hominidae.
GAAAGUCUUGUCAUCAUUAGAUAUGAGUUCUUGAUUAUAUUCUGAAUAUUGAUGAUUAGAAAAAUCUUAUGUUCUGUUGCUCUUAACAACAGACCCACACACAACAAAAAGCAUGCUAUUUGAGUAACUCUUACGACUUACAAGGCUGAGGGCUGUGGUGUGCAUUAUUCUUUAGGGUCUUCCACCAGCAGUGCCUCCUAUUAACCUGUGACAAACAAGUCUCUCAAUGUUAAAGAACUGGACAUGUGUUUUUUAUGUUUUUUGUUAGGAAUCAGAAAGUAUAAUAAUAUGCUUGGUUUCUUUUUCCUAUAGUAACAUUUUACAAAAGAGCUGCUAGGCAGGUAUUUUAUUCUCAAAGUGAUCUCAAACUGGAUGUAAAAUUUUAAAUUAUUUUUUUAAUAGUAGUAUAAGAAUUCUGGCUGCUAUUAGUUAUUGUUUGUUUUCUGGGUUAGAAGCUAUUCGAAAAGUCCAGUUUCUGUCCCAGUGUAGCAAAAUGUAGUUCCUCGGUUGUUUUUCUUUAAAUGCUUUAUAAUUUUACACUACCUUUUUAAUAUACAAACCUCAUUCUUCAUUGGAUAACUUGAAGGCUUUGAUUUCUUUAAAAAUUUAAAUUUUAGUGUGUAUAUUACUUUGACAGUUCC